GGGGGAAACGCUGAGACGCGGAGGAAGCGCGUGUCUGCCGCGCCUGCGCGCGUGGCGGCGCGUCGGCGGUUGCUAGGUGACGGGGGCGCGGGGAGUGCGUGCCCUCCCCCCCGCCCGCAGCGCUCGCUGGCUGUGUUCUUUAAAUGUAUUUUGGAUGGGAUUUUCUUUUCCUUCAUUGCCAUCUAUAGAAAUUGAUGAAUUUUUUAAGACAGCAGCCUGGCAACCUGGACAAAAGGCAGGAUUCCCUUGGAUUCUUCAUCAGCAGAUUCAGAAAGACUGUGUCCCAAUCAGUCACGUUCAGAUUGGUAUCACUGCCAGAGAUAUGAACAGUUAGAAAGAGCUCAUGUUGUGAGUAAACUGGUGAAUUAACUGAGCAUCUCAAGUUAAUUCUGAUUGGCAGUGCUAAGGCUCCAUCUGCCAUCAGAUGUCUUUCUUCCUGACUGAGAUGUUUCUGUGGUCUUUGAAGACUAACUUACGUAUUAGAGAUGAAGAUAUCGGGGUCCACCAAUACUGUGACAAGAAAGCAACAGCAUCACAGAUGAAGCAUGGUUACUUAGAAGAGAAGCAAAAGCUAGCAGAAUCUCGAGAUUAUUCUUGGAUACUGAAAAACAAGCGACCAGACAAACUGCGAGACACACUCAAGGAGCUAGAGGACUUAAUGCAAAACAGUCAAUGGAUCCUGAGCAGAUGGAAGAACAAACAUAUCUGUCAGCUCCUCUUUCACUCGGGUAUAUUGGUGUCCCUAAGCCUUUCUGGGCCACAGCUGGAGAAGGUGGUGAUUGACAGGACCCUGGUGGGGAAGCUCAUCUCCGACACCAUCAGCGAUGCUAUUCUUACAGACAAUUUCAUCAUCUUGUCAUUUGAGGACCAUAACCAACUCUGCUUUAUUCAGUUUACGAAGAAGGUGGAUUCUCCUGAUGUAAACAAAAGACUGGAAAAGCUCUCUUGUUUGGACUUUAAGAUUUCUUAUAUUGAUAUACUUGGACCAGAAGGUAGAAGGAUGAAACGUCACCUAGCAAUAAACUCUGUGCAAGAUAUGGUCAUUUGCUGGUGGUCAGCAACUAGUGAUGGAGCCUGGCCUUGGUCUCCUAUUUCCUGUGAGAGGGACAGAGCCAACCUAUUGCUAUUAGGCUGUGCACAUGGCAAAUUGGAGGUUCUAAGUUAUGUCCGUACAGAAUGGGAUCUACUCAAUGCUGGCUUCAGCACUAAUCAGCCUUAUCAGGUCUACACCGUGGAGCACUCCGUCUCCACAGAAAAAGAGCCCAUGGCUGACAGCUGCAUCUACAAGUGCGUUAGGAACAAAAUUCGGUGUGUAGCAGUCACCAGAAUACCACUGCGAUCCAAGGCCAUCAGCUGCUGCAGAGACACUACAGAAGACAAACUAGUCCUGGGUUGUGAAGAUUCAUCAAUAAUUCUGUAUGAAGCCUAUAACCAAGUGACUUUGUUGGCCCAAGCAGAACUGCUGCCGUCAUUAAUAGCCUACCACCCUUCUGGAGCCAUAUUGACGGUUGGCAGCUCUCAAGGGGAGCUGCAACUUUUUGACACGGCACUGUCCCCAGUUAAAAUUCAGCUCCUAGCACAAGACUAUUCACCUGAGGUGACUCUGCAAUUCAGUAAACACUUUGAUGCGCCUAGCAGCCUCAUCCAGAUCCAGUGGGCCACUCCUCAGUUUGCAUCCACCAGCACUGAUGGCUCAGAUAUUCAUGAUCUUUUGUUAGUUAGAUUCGACAAAGGACCUGUAGGAGUACUUCACUUUAAACUUGGUGUGAUCACAAGAGGACAGCUGGGCUUUGUGGAAAUCAUCCACCAGUACAUUCGUUAUGAUGAGAUACACGAGGCAAUUAAUGUCCUGAACACCAUGAACUGGAACACGAUGGGUCUUCAGUGUUAUAUAUGCUUGAGUGCCAUUGUCAAUCACCUUCUUAAACAAAAGCUUACACCAGACAGAGAAGCACAGCUUGAGGCAAGCCUCGGAACCUUUUAUGCUCCAACAAGACCCCUCUUGGAUACAACUGUGCUGGAGUACAGGGACCCAAUCAGCAAAUAUGCAAGAAGGUUCUUCCACCACCUGCUCAGGUAUCAGAGAUUUGAAAAAGCAUUUCUGCUAGCUGUUGACAUAGGUGCUCGGGACCUGUUUAUGAACUUCUGGGGCAGUCAGGUGAAGAAGACCCAUCUCACAAAGCUUUCGUUGACUGCCCUUCAGACCCUGGUGGAGAGCGCAACCUGCCUUCUCCUGAUCCAGCCACCAGCUUGCCAGCACAAAGCUCUUCCCACAGGUUUGAGGACGCUUGAAUAUCUCAUGAAUUACACCUUGGCAGAAGCCCUGGGCAAGGGUCUUGUGAAGACUAGCAGAAGACUAGCAGAAGACGUUUUAGCUUGCAUAAUAAACCUUCUUAGUGAUGCCCUUCAAGGAGCCUGACAUCUGCAUAUGUGUAAUAGCCAGUUUUCAGGCUGUAUGAUUAACAAAUGACUUCAAUUAACUCUUCACAUCAUCAUCUCCUUUGUCUAACACAGAAAGCAGUAGCCUUGGAUGGAGACAGGGACAGAAAAGGCUGGAACCAAAAAAAUCGUUCAUAAAAUGGUCUCAAAGCUUUUAUUUCUUUGAGAACUUUCUCUAGGCAAAGUCUGGCUUAUCUUCUUGCCUUGCAGUCAGAAGGCAGAGAACUUAGUUUGAGACUAAAGCGUGUUUUACAGACAGAGAAACCUGGCUUAACUCCAUGAGAUUUUAUGAAAGUAGCAAUAGUGUGGCUGUCGGCAGAGAACUGUAGUCAACAUUCUGAAUGGUGCACACAUACAACCGAGUAAGUUAUGCCGUGAUAAGAGGACAACACUCCAGAUAAACACAUUAUUUACUGUGUGAUUUCUCUCUCUCUUAACAUGAACAGGACAGUUAGAUACCACCAACAAUGCACACUUCGGUGAGUAAUUUGUUACAAGACAAAGCUCUCAUCUAUCUUAGAUUUGCCACUGACCAUGCCAUUCUCUCCUUCGAAGUGUCUGAUAUGUUAUAGCCUAGCAGUCCUUGUCCUCUCAUUAUUCUUGUUUUCUGUUUAUGGAAAAGUUUUGAUCAGCAUAAUCCUUUUGCUCCCUCUAUAGAAGGAAAAUAUUUUUAGAAGCUGUGGACACUGUUGUUCUGAGGACCAAGGUAGCACACUGAUCCUCUCGGCAACAUGUUAAAGGAACUGAUUGACUCCCUGUAGGACAGCUUAUUUCUGGAUGAGUCAGCUAGUGAGUGCCUGCAACUGUGCCAGAAUCUGCCACGUAAGAGUCAGCACAGAACUAUGGCUGUUCUCGCUUCUCUGCUGUUGGCACUGGUAACUGUGAUGUGGGUUUCCUCUCUGUCACUGUGUCAUUCUGUUCCUUUACCAUAAUGCAUUGCAGGUUUAAAUCUCUUGCAUUUGUUGGAAAUGUCAGUGUGAAUGUGAAUGUGAAGCUGGGUUGGGAUCUUUUUCAGCUUGUUAUUCAUCUACCUUGUCCUCAUCACCCAAACCAGAACUAUUCUGAUUUUAAUUAGAAUAUCUCUUAUUUUAAUACAAAUGAUUAGGAUAGAAAGCAAAAGUGUGUAUAUAUACAUCUCAUCACAGUGAUUUUUAUCAUCAAAUUUUCUUGUUGAAUAUGUAUUUAAAGAUGCACAUAUUUCUACUGCUCUACAAGUUUUUAUUAAGCUCGGAAGCAUGUUUGUAUAUUUUGAAUUAAAAUCAACGCAAAGAGAGAGACAAUUAGAGUUACUCCACUGGGUCCCUUUUUGUGUGUCAUGUAUAAAAACCCUUUAAGUGGAUAAUUUGUGCAAUUAAACUAAAUAAGCAUUCCUCACACUUAAGGCUCUUCUGUUAAUUGAUCCACCAUCAGUUAUGUUUUUUAAAAGUUGUCUUUAACCAGGAACAAAACCUGGUCUUGAAUAUCAGGAAUAUAGGCUGAGAAAUAGGGUCAGCCACAGGUCCAGGCAUACUACUACAGGCUGCUCUAACUGUCCUAGCAAUUUUCAGUUCAAAAGUAACUCGAUUAAUUGGGACAUGUCCCUGCCUGUGGCAGGGGGGUUGGAAUUAGAUGAUCUUUAAGAUCCCUUCCAACCCAAACUGUUCUAUGAUUCUGUGUGUGCUGUGAGGAUGUGGCAAUGUGGAGGUGGAGGAAAUUCAUCACAGAAGUGGGAUCCGGCAGCUCAGCAGUGCUAAUCCCACCUGGUUGCUGCAGCCUCCCUUCUCAUUCUUCGCCAUUGCUCAGCCCCAGUGAAGGUGACAGGAGUUUCACAUGCGUUGAGAACACAACAACAGGCAAAUAUGUGUGGCUCUUUGCAAAGUUGCAGUAUCAAUUUCUACAUCUGUAAAACUGAGGUAAUACAUUACCAACUUCAAAGAGUUGUUGGGCAAAUUAAUUAGUCAGUGUGCAUACAGCACCUUGAAAAUAUGAAGUUAACUCUUAUUGCCCCAUAGAUACUUGAGAUGCAUCGAGGUAUGCUCUAUGGCCUUUUAAUUUCAGGCAAAGGUCCUCUUGAUUAAAUUGGAUUGCUAACAUAUUAACGCAUUGCACACUUGAAGAAAGAAAAGUUUGAAAGAGUAGUUUUGCUUCAUCACAUGAGCAGCGUGUAUACUUAAUGGAAAUUUUUCCAGCAUUCACAAAACAAAGAAAAACCAAUAAAAUGCCUGCCAACUGUUCCACUGAAAACAUUUUAUAAUCUAUAGCUCCGAGAAUCCUGAGCCAAGAUAAACCAGUGUUGCUGAAGGAAAUACUGACAAUUAUUUUACAUUGAUUCAACUUGGCCCAGCCCAGACUGACCUUGUUUAUUCUUCUCAGUCUCUUAAUUCAUAUUAACUUGGCAUCAAAAUGGGACAUGUGGCAUGUGAGCUGAAGACCCAUUUCUGUAUCUUAGACUCAGAUAAAUGUAGUGCAUUGAGUACUUCCAGUGCCUUGAGCUCUUAGGUAGAUUUAUAUGCAUUAGACAGAACUGGUUAAGUUCCUUUUAUCCCCGCUGGGCUUUUCCUGUCUGUUGACUGUAAAACUAGAAGCUCAGUAGAAGUAACAUCUUCUUCUAAGCCUUUGGAUAUACAUGAAAUCCUCCCAGUAGUGGUCAAUUUUAAAGGCACAUCCAAAGAGGAUGGAGGGUUUUAAGCUGUUUUAAAACAUAAAGAUAGAAGGGUUAUGGCAAUUUGGCAGCCAAAAAAAGCAAUUUGCAGGUCUCAGCAGAAUCUGAGGCUGUGUGUAAGAAAGCUGAUCAAGACACUACGGAGGAGAUAAUGGGGUCAAAGAGCAGAAGAAUCCCUCCAUUUUUGCAACCAGCAUAAUCUGGUCUCCAAUGAAGUUUCUUAGUUUCUUUUGCUGAACCAAUAAAGCUUAGCGUGAUGGGAGAGUUGCAUUAUUGGAGCUUAAAAAUGUCUCUGGAAAGCUGAUGGGGAGAGUUGCUUUACAGAUGCCCAGCUGCUUGCAUAGCUGUCGCCUGACUGGUACUGUGAAGACAAAGGCAUAGGGAAAGUCUGAGAUUUUUCUUUAAUUAUUUACAGUCUUGUCAGUAAUAAAAGGCUUUUUGUGUCUGGAAUGUAUUAUUUGUGUUAUCAAAACUGAAUGAGAUUUCGCACUGUGUUGGUUAACAAAUUGGAUGCCACACAAAAGGCUUCACAUUUUCAUUCUCAGAUCUGCAUUGCUGUCAUAUCUGAAAGCCACCCUCAAGUAAAAUAUCACUAUGUCCACGGAGGAGGAGAAGGCACCCAAAUGAGGAGAAUCUCCCCAGGGAGUUUCCCAAUUGCCCUGGCAUAAGAGGUUUUUCUCUGUUCAGCUAUUGCUGAAGGCAACACUCCCUUGGACUUCAUCAGGCAUUUGGCAGUUCAUGGACUGCAGGACGAGCAGUGAGUCAGCAAGCCAAGAUAGCACCAGAUGACCUCCAAAUUUCCAGUUCCACUGCCUUGGGAAAGUAUUGCCUUUCCACAUGCCUCCAUAAGCAGAAAUUAAUGACAAGUGAAAAUGCGACUGGCAAAAUAAAAAAAACACGAUCAAUCAAAAAAAUCCAUGUAAAUUUUCCAUAACACCUAGCUGGUGUAUUCCUCCCUGCAGCUCUUUCACGACUUGAAUUUCAGUGAUGGAAGUGGUGUAGGGGACAGGAUUUAACUGCAAAAUCAGUGCUGCUUUUUGGAUCUGACAUCCUCCUCUCCCAGCAUCCGCCCAGCUGCCUCUGUGCAGGCCUGCUGCAGUACCAGGCACCUGCUACGUGUCGCACAUCCCCAGCCUGUCCUGCUUAACAAAACUUUCAUUGCUUCAAAUCACACCAGGUUUACACCACAUCUUUGAAUGAAAAGAUAGUGCUGGAGCGAUUACAUGGCCAAAUGAGUGAUCUUAAUGACGCUCAGUCAACAAACAUAUUGGCAUGUGAUAAAAAAGAGCUACAGUUUGCAGCCAGGGAAUUACACAGGCUGCUGUGUACUUGAAAAAACAUAGAAAAUGAAACAGCUUUGGUCUGUUAUCCAGUGUCUCCCCAACUCUUCAGUCCUUCCUCCCUCUCUUCCUCCCUCCCCUCCUGUCACUUCUGUUUUGUUUUCAAAGACCCACCAGCCGCAGACAGGCAGAGGACAAUGAGCAUGAGGCUGCAGUGGGUAGCUGCACCGCCUCCCCGAUGGAGAAACCUUUUUCCAGCAGCCAGGAAGGAAAUUUGAGAGCAGUUCCUACAGAGCAGG
This is an RNA transcript of Cuculus canorus (common cuckoo), 6659 nucleotides long. It is a transcript of the gene named WD repeat containing planar cell polarity effector, with no coding region annotated. The transcript has 18 exons. NCBI's taxonomy places the organism in Eukaryota, Metazoa, Chordata, Aves, Cuculiformes, Cuculidae. The record is from RefSeq and is a predicted model, not a curated record.